RNAcentral lists this ribosomal RNA (553 nucleotides) under uncultured freshwater bacterium. RNAcentral describes it as "bacterial SSU rRNA". It matches the Rfam family "Bacterial small subunit ribosomal RNA", at positions 8 to 607 of the family's 1533-position model. The record is from RNAcentral.
AGAGUUUGAUCCUGGCUCAGAACGAACGCUGGCGGCAUGCCUAACACAUGCAAGUCGAACGAGACCUUCGGGUCUAGUGGCGCACGGGUGCGUAACGCGUGGGAAUCUGCCCUUUGCUUCGGAAUAACAGUUAGAAAUGACUGCUAAUACCGGAUGAUGUCUUCGGACCAAAGAUUUAUCGGCAAAGGAUGAGCCCGCGUAGGAUUAGGUAGUUGGUGGGGUAAAGGCCUACCAAGCCGACGAUCCUUAGCUGGUCUGAGAGGAUGAUCAGCCACACUGGGACUGAGACACGGCCCAGACUCCUACGGGAGGCAGCAGUGGGGAAUAUUGGACAAUGGGCGCAAGCCUGAUCCAGCAAUGCCGCGUGAGUGAUGAAGGCCUUCGGGUCGUAAAGCUCUUUUACCAGGGAUGAUAAUGACAGUACCUGGAGAAUAAGCUCCGGCUAACUCCGUGCCAGCAGCCGCGGUAAUACGGAGGGAGCUAGCGUUGUUCGGAAUUACUGGGCGUAAAGAGUACGUAGGCGGUUAUUCAAGUCAGAGGUGAAAGCCCGGGG